CCUACGGGAGGCAGCAGUGAGGAAUAUUGGUCAAUGGGCGGGAGCCUGAACCAGCCAAGUCGCGUGAGGGACGACGGUCCUAUGGAUUGUAAACCUCUUUUGUGCGGGAGCAAUAAUGGUCACGUGUGGCCAGUCGAGAGUACCGUACGAAUAAGCAUCGGCUAACUCCGUGCCAGCAGCCGCGGUACUACGGGGGAUGCAAGCGUUAUCCGGAUUUAUUGGGUUUAAAGGGUGCGUAGGCUGGGAGGUAAGUCAGCGGUGAAAUGCCCACGCUCAACGGGGUGAAGUGCCAGUGAUACUGCCUUGCUGGAAGGCGGAUGCCGUGGGAGGAAUGUGUGGUGUAGCGGUGAAAUGCAUAGAUAUCACACAGAACACCGAUUGCGAAGGCAUCUCACGAAUCCGCGAUUGACGCUGAUGCACGAAAGCGUGGGUAUCAAACAGGAUUAGAUACCCGAGUAGUC
RNAcentral lists this ribosomal RNA (461 nucleotides) under uncultured bacterium. RNAcentral describes it as "partial 16S ribosomal RNA". It matches the Rfam family "Bacterial small subunit ribosomal RNA", at positions 338 to 795 of the family's 1533-position model. The record is from RNAcentral.